Molecule: ribosomal RNA, 881 nt
Filed under: uncultured bacterium
Lineage: Bacteria
Description: bacterial SSU rRNA
Rfam family: Bacterial small subunit ribosomal RNA
Source: RNAcentral
GGGCUGGGAAUUUCGCCCUUUUGGAGUUUGAUCCUUGGGUUCAGGACGAACCGCUGGCGGCGGGGCUUACCACAUGCAAGUCGAACGAUGAAGGUAUGACGGAGCUUCGGCCGACAGAAUAACGGAAUAGUGGCGGACGGGUGAGUAACGCGUGAGUAACCUGCCUUUCAGAGAGGAAUAACAUUUGGAAACGAAUGGUAAUACCACAUAACAUUACGUUCUCGCAUGGGGAUGUAAUCAAAAGAUUUAUCGCUGAGAGAUGGACUCGCGUCCGAUUAGCUAGAUGGUGAGGUAACGGCCCACCAUGGCGACGAUCGGUAGCCGGACUGAGAGGUUGAACGGCCACAUUGGGACUGAGACACGGCCCAGACUCCUACGGGAGGCAGCAGUGGGGAAUAUUGCACAAUGGGGGAAACCCUGAUGCAGCAACGCCGCGUGAGGGAAGACGGUCUUCGGAUUGUAAACCUUUGUCUUUGGUGAAGAAGAAAGUGACGGUAGCCAAGGAGGAAGCCACGGCUAACUACGUGCCAGCAGCCGCGGUAAUACGUAGGUGGCAAGCGUUGUCCGGAAUUACUGGGUGUAAAGGGAGCGCAGGCGGGACAGCAAGUUGGAUGUGAAAUACCGAGGCUUAACCACGGAGCUGCAUCCAAAACUGUUGUUCUUGAGUGAAGUAGAGGUAGGCGGAAUUCCGAGUGUAGCGGUGAAAUGCGUAGAUAUUCGGAGGAACACCAGUGGCGAAGGCGGCCUACUGGGCUUUAACUGACGCUGAGGCUCGAAAGUGUGGGGAGCAAACAGGAUUAGAUACCCUGGUAGUCCACACUGUAAACGAUGAUUGCUAGGUGUGGGGGGUCUGACCCCCUCCGUGCCGGAGUAACGCAAUA